Capsicum annuum is the source of this 107-nucleotide non-coding RNA. Lineage: Eukaryota; Viridiplantae; Streptophyta; Magnoliopsida; Solanales; Solanaceae. The record is from Rfam.
UAAUGAUGGUGAGGGCAAUUUCUGACCAUACUUUUAAAUCUCUCCCAAGAUUGGUAGAGAUUCUCCCUUUCCUUCUGUCUGAAACUCAAAAUCUUGCUUCUUAAAUA